GAUGAACGCUGGCGGCGUGCCUAAUACAUGCAAGUCGAGCGAACGGACGAGAAGCUUGCUUCUCUGAUGUUAGCGGCGGACGGGUGAGUAACACGUGGAUAACCUACCUAUAAGACUGGGAUAACUUCGGGAAACCGGAGCUAAUACCGGAUGAUAUUUUGAACCGCAUGGUUCAAAAGUGAAAGACGGUCUUGCUGUCACUUAUAGAUGGAUCCGCGCUGCAUUAGCUAGUUGGUAAGGUAACGGCUUACCAAGGCAACGAUGCAUAGCCGACCUGAGAGGGUGAUCGGCCACACUGGAACUGAGACACGGUCCAGACUCCUACGGGAGGCAGCAGUAGGGAAUCUUCCGCAAUGGGCGAAAGCCUGACGGAGCAACGCCGCGUGAGUGAUGAAGGUCUUCGGAUCGUAAAACUCUGUUAUUAGGGAAGAACAUAUGUGUAAGUAACUGUGCACAUCUUGACGGUACCUAAUCAGAAAGCCACGGCUAAUUACGUG
RNAcentral lists this ribosomal RNA (497 nucleotides) under uncultured bacterium. Its description in RNAcentral is "partial 16S ribosomal RNA". It matches the Rfam family "Bacterial small subunit ribosomal RNA", at positions 28 to 507 of the family's 1533-position model. The record is from RNAcentral.